AGGACGACUGUGUGGCUUAAAUCGAAACUCGAUUCAUCAAACAUCACAAGCAUCAAAAGGAACUUUUCACAAACGAUACGGACCGGCCAGAUGACGAUGAAAUAACGGGAACGGCUCAUACAUUCCGCCAAGCUGCAUGAGUUUGAAUGCUGUUUAGUACGCUCGGUGAUAUAUGAGAGCUCGUAUUCUCCGCUUCCAGACAUAUAGACCUUCAUAACACGUCAUCUCCCGUGACGAGUUUUCGCCGCCAUUUUGGAUAUCUACUACAUGUAAUGGAUGAGAUGGACCCAGGAUGUAACGAUACGCCGGACGCACGACUGAGCGGGAAUGAGGGACCAGAUGAAUAUCAUCAGCUCUCCCAAAGCCAAGAUGAUAAGACGGAGCCAGUGGCUAUGGAGACAGAUGAGAAUGCCGCGCACUCAUCACGUCAGAACAGCCAACGAGGU
Molecule: long non-coding RNA, 446 nt
Organism: Patiria miniata (bat star)
Lineage: Eukaryota; Metazoa; Echinodermata; Asteroidea; Valvatida; Asterinidae
Exons: 3
Source: RefSeq, a predicted model, not a curated record